GCCCUGUCGCGUGACUGGCGCAGUCGUGGAGCACCACGAGGGAGCGCGAUGCCUUCUCCCGCCGCGCGCCUGGGCGAUCUUC
This 82-nucleotide non-coding RNA is filed under the name Sphingomonas sp. RNAcentral describes it as "ZTP sequence". It matches the Rfam family "ZMP/ZTP riboswitch aptamer (pfl RNA motif)". Rfam says of the family: Previously known as pfl RNA. ZMP is also known as AICAR. The record is from RNAcentral. Lineage: Bacteria; Pseudomonadati; Pseudomonadota; Alphaproteobacteria; Sphingomonadales; Sphingomonadaceae. RNAcentral also lists the same sequence under 1 other name.